RNAcentral lists this unclassified non-coding RNA (252 nucleotides) under uncultured Paenibacillaceae bacterium. RNAcentral describes it as "contains 16S-23S intergenic spacer region". It matches the Rfam family "Bacterial small subunit ribosomal RNA", at positions 524 to 776 of the family's 1533-position model. Lineage: Bacteria; Bacillati; Bacillota; Bacilli; Caryophanales; Paenibacillaceae. The record is from RNAcentral.
UACGUAGGGGGCAAGCGUUGUCCGGGAUUAUUGGGCGUAAAGCGCGCGCAGGCGGUGAUUUAAGUCUUGUGUAUAAUCCCGGAGCUCAACUCCGGGUCGCAUGGGAAACUGGGUCACUUGAGUGCAGAAGAGGAGAGUGGAAUUCCACGUGUAGCGGUGAAAUGCGUAGAUAUGUGGACGAACACCAGUGGCGAAGGCGGCUCUCUGGACUGUAACUGACGCUGAGGCGCGAAAGCGUCGGGAGCAAACAGG